ACAGCAGUAGCCACGGUAAUACGUAGGGCGCAAGCGUUAUCCGGAGUUAUUGGGCGUAAAGAGCUCGUAGGCGGUUUGUCGCGUCUGCCGUGAAAGUCCGGGGCUCAACCCCGGAUCUGCGGUGGGUACGGGCAGACUAGAGUGAUGUAGGGGAGACUGGAAUUCCUGGUGUAGCGGUGAAAUGCGCAGAUAUCAGGAGGAACACCGAUGGCGAAGGCAGGUCUCUGGGCAUUAACUGACGCUGAGGAGCGAAAGCAUGGGGAGCGAACAGGAUUAGAUACCCGUGUAGUCCCUGUCUCUUAUAA
RNAcentral lists this ribosomal RNA (305 nucleotides) under uncultured bacterium. RNAcentral's name for it is "partial 16S ribosomal RNA". It matches the Rfam family "Bacterial small subunit ribosomal RNA", at positions 505 to 809 of the family's 1533-position model. The record is from RNAcentral.